This 301-nucleotide ribosomal RNA is filed under the name uncultured bacterium. RNAcentral describes it as "partial 16S ribosomal RNA". It matches the Rfam family "Bacterial small subunit ribosomal RNA", at positions 509 to 809 of the family's 1533-position model. The record is from RNAcentral.
CAGUCGCCGCGGUAAUACGAAGGUCCCGAGCGUUGUUCGGAAUCACUGGGCGUAAAGGGAGCGUAGGCGGCGUGGUAAGUCAGAUGUGAAAUCCCGGGGCUCAACCCCGGAACUGCAUCCGAUACUGCCAUGCUAGAGGAUUGGAGAGGUAGCUGGAAUUCUUGGUGUAGCAGUGAAAUGCGUGGAGAUCAAGAGGAACACUCGUGGCGAAAGCGAGCUACUGGACAAUAACUGACGCUGAGGCUCGAAGGCCAGGGUAGCGAAAGGGAUUAGAUACCCGAGUAGUCCCUGUCUCUUAUAA